UUCUAAAAAGGCUGUAUCCGCCCCUGUAUAUAUGCCUGGUAUACUGUUUUGAUCAGCAGAACGUUAACAUUAAAAACAACAGACAUUUUACCUACAUUAAGACCAUCGACACACACCACCCGCUCCGGAUACCCGUCACGGAAUAACUGCACCCUGGAAAAGCGUUGAAAGCGUCCGUAAAAUACCAUUCGGAUUUCUGCAUCGAAACAUCUCCACAAGCACUUCUUUGGGUGGCAUUUUCGAAGUUAGGACGUACAAUGUAGAACAAACUUUAUGGAUAAAAGCUUCUUUUAUUUCGCGAGUGCAACGUUUCGAUACAUAUUCUACAACGGUACAAAAACUUUCGACUAUGAUAUAAAAGAAGUUGUUAUCCAUAAAGUUGUGUGUUUUAUACUUAUCUACCCAUAUUUCGAAUGCAAAUCAAACAAUAAACAAUAAAAAUUA
Molecule: long non-coding RNA, 444 nt
Organism: Haliotis rubra (blacklip abalone)
Lineage: Eukaryota; Metazoa; Mollusca; Gastropoda; Lepetellida; Haliotidae
Exons: 2
Source: RefSeq, a predicted model, not a curated record